Molecule: transfer RNA, 74 nt
Filed under: Caudoviricetes sp.
Lineage: Duplodnaviria; Heunggongvirae; Uroviricota; Caudoviricetes
Description: tRNA-Thr
Rfam family: tRNA
About the family: Transfer RNA (tRNA) molecules are approximately 80 nucleotides in length. Their secondary structure includes four short double-helical elements and three loops (D, anti-codon, and T loops). Further hydrogen bonds mediate the characteristic L-shaped molecular structure. tRNAs have two regions of fundamental functional importance: the anti-codon, which is responsible for specific mRNA codon recognition, and the 3' end, to which the tRNAs corresponding amino acid is attached (by aminoacyl-tRNA synthetases). tRNAs cope with the degeneracy of the genetic code in two manners: having more than one tRNA (with a specific anti-codon) for a particular amino acid; and 'wobble' base-pairing, i.e. permitting non-standard base-pairing at the 3rd anti-codon position.
Source: RNAcentral
GGCAGUGUAGCUCAAAGUAGAGCAGCUGAUUUGUAAUCAGCAGGUUAGCGGUUCAAGUCCGUUCAUUGCCUCCA